RNA transcript from Medicago truncatula (barrel medic), 1406 nucleotides. It is a transcript of the gene named FKBP12-interacting protein of 37 kDa, with no coding region annotated. The record is from RefSeq and is a predicted model, not a curated record. NCBI's taxonomy places the organism in Eukaryota, Viridiplantae, Streptophyta, Magnoliopsida, Fabales, Fabaceae. The transcript is spliced from 15 exons.
AAAGCAAUUUUAUUUCGCACUCACCGUUUUUCAACUUUGCGUCAGAACAACCUCUACUCAGUCCUCUCCAAGUACUAGUAACAGCUACUUCACUCAGUUUUUCUCCAAUUCUAGGGUUUUUCCAGCUUCACCAUGUCUUCUCCAACUCUCGACGACCAGGAAUUUGAUUUCGGAGAACGAGUUACCGGAACGCGUUCAGAUACUGUAAGUCAUAAGAGGUCUUCUGCUGAAUUUGAUGAUGGAAAUUUUGAUAAUGAUCCUUACGGAAAGAAGGCCAAAACGACAGCUGAAGUAGAAGCUGCUUCUGGUGUUACAACCGGAAUGAUUUUGUCUCUUCGCGAGAGUCUUCAAGACUGUAAGGAAACACUUGAUUCGUGCUUGAAUGAACUUGAGGAUGCACAAUACGAGAUUCAGAAUUGGCGCUCUGCAUUUCAAAAUGCACCAUUCAUACCUGCUGGGACCGCACCAGUACCCAAAUUGGUGAUUAAUUACCUUCAAGCACUGAAAUCAUCAGUAGAGUCCUUAGCGGAUCAGCUUGAAAAGGCAAAGAAAAAGGAAGUUGCAUUCAUUGUGACAUUUGCUAAACGUGAGCAAGAGAUAGCAAAGCUGAAGUCUGCUGUACGAGACCUCAAAGCUCAACUCAAGCCAACAUCAAUGCAGGCAAGAAGGUUCUUAUUAGAUCCAGUAAUCCAUGAAGAGUUCACGCGGUUAAAGAAUUUAGUUGCGGAAAAGGACACAAGACUAAAGGAGUUGCAAGAUCAAAUGUCUGCUGUAAAAUUUACUUCCCAAAGCAAGAUGGGGAAGUUGCUAAUGGCUAAAUGUAAAACUCUGCAAGAGGAAAAUGAAGAGAUCGGGCUUCAAGCUUCUGAGGGAAAGAUGCAUGAAUUAGCAAUGAAACUUUCAUUGCAGAAAGAUCAAAAUUCAGAGCUCAGAAAUCAAUUUGAAGAGUUGCAGAAGCAUAUGGAUGGAUUGACCAAUGAUGUGGAAAGAUCUAAUGAAACGGAAACCAUUUAAGGACCUCAACAAAACUUCUGUCUUGGGGAAAUGCUUAUAUUGGUCACAAAUGCUAAUAUGAAAUAGGUUUUCAUGCUGCAAGGUAAAGUAGAUGAGAAGGAUCUAGAGAUUGAAAGACUGAAAGAUGAGUUGCAACAAAAAAAGCUCCGCAGAGAACAGGAGAGCAAUGCCGGGGAUUGACGAGAUGAUACUGCAGAAGAUUUCAAACAGAUAUCAGUUUCAUUGGACUUCAAUUUUUUGUUGGAAAUGGUUAAAUUACUUCUGUGGUUUUUACUGAAGUUCAUAACUGUAUAUUGUAUUCAAGUUGUUCGUUCGAAUUUUUCUUGGAAAUGUGCAACUGUGAUUUACUACUGCUCGGUGGUCCAUAAGAAUUACAACUAUCAUAUUAACCA